RNAcentral lists this ribosomal RNA (400 nucleotides) under phytoplankton environmental sample. RNAcentral describes it as "partial small subunit ribosomal RNA". It matches the Rfam family "Eukaryotic small subunit ribosomal RNA", at positions 587 to 975 of the family's 1831-position model. The record is from RNAcentral.
AGCUCCAAUAGGAUAUAUCAAAGUUGUUGCAGUUGAAAAGCUCGUAGUCGUAUUUCUGGUGGGUCGAUGCUCCUCGAUUGCCGGCGAAAGCUGGUGACGUUAGGGGCCGCCUGCCAUUUUGUGGGAAUCCGUGGCUAGGUUGUCGUUCACUCGGUGACCUAGUUGCGCCACUCCGUCACUGAGAGCAAAUUGGAGUGCUCAAAGCAGGCUUUACAGCUUUGAACAUCUUAGCUUGGAAUGACAAAGUAUGACUUUUUGUUCACUUUGUUGGUUAUGAAUGAGAAGUAAUGAUAAAUAGGAACAGUUGCGGGGGUACUCGUACUGGAAAGUCAGAGGUGAAAUUCUUGGAUUUUUCCAUGACGAACGACUGCGAAAGCAUUUACCAAGGAUGUUUUCAUUG